UACGGAGGGUGCAAGCGUUGCUCGGAAUUAUUGGGCGUAAAGGGUAGGUAGGUGGUCUCAUUUGUCUGGGGUGAAAGCCUUGAGCUUAACUCAAGAAGUGCCCCAGAAACGGUGAGACUAGAGUUCUGGAGAGGGUCGUGGAAUUCCCGGUGUAGCGGUGAAAUGCGUAGAGAUCGGGAGGAACACCAGAGGCGAAGGCGGCGACCUGGACGGAUACUGACACUCAACUACGAAAGCGUGGGGAGCAAACAGG
Molecule: ribosomal RNA, 253 nt
Filed under: uncultured bacterium
Lineage: Bacteria
Description: partial 16S ribosomal RNA
Rfam family: Bacterial small subunit ribosomal RNA
Source: RNAcentral